GACGAACGCUGGCGGCGUGCUUAACACAUGCAAGUCGAACGCUGAAGACCUGGCUUUUGUUGGGUUGGAUGAGUGGCGAACGGGUGAGUAAUACGUGAGUAACCUGCCCUCUUCUUUGGGAUAACGCCCGGAAACGGGUGCUAAUACUGGAUAUUCACUGGCCUUCGCAUGGGGGUUGGUGGAAAGGUUUGUUCUGGUGGGGGAUGGGCUCGCGGCCUAUCAGCUUGUUGGUGGGGUGAUGGCCUACCAAGGCUUUGACGGGUAGCCGGCCUGAGAGGGUGACCGGUCACAUUGGGACUGAGAUACGGCCCAGACUCCUACGGGAGGCAGCAGUGGGGAAUAUUGCACAAUGGGCGAAAGCCUGAUGCAGCGACGCCGCGUGAGGGAUGGAGGCCUUCGGGUUGUAAACCUCUUUCGCUCAUGGUCAAGCCGCAACUGUGGGUUGUGGUGAGGGUAGUGGGUAAAGAAGCGCCGGCUAACUACGUG
RNAcentral lists this ribosomal RNA (486 nucleotides) under uncultured bacterium. RNAcentral's name for it is "partial 16S ribosomal RNA". It matches the Rfam family "Bacterial small subunit ribosomal RNA", at positions 28 to 507 of the family's 1533-position model. The record is from RNAcentral.